Molecule: ribosomal RNA, 433 nt
Filed under: uncultured bacterium
Lineage: Bacteria
Description: partial 16S ribosomal RNA
Rfam family: Bacterial small subunit ribosomal RNA
Source: RNAcentral
AACGAACGCUGGCGGCAUGCCUAACACAUGCAAGUCGAACGAGACCUCCGGGUCUAGUGGCGCACGGGUGUGUAACGCGUGGGAACCUGCCCUUAGGUUCGGAAUAACUCUCCGAAAGGGGUGCUAAUACCGGAUAAUGUCUUCGGACCAAAGAUUUAUCGCAUUUGGUUGGGCACGCGUUGGAUUAGCUUGUUGGUAGGGUAAAAGCCUACUAAGGCGACGAUCCAUAGCUGGUUUGAGAGGAUGGUCAGCGACACUGGGACUGAGACACGGCCCAGACUCCUACGGAAUGCAGCAAUGGGUGAUAUUGGACAAUGGGGUAAGUCCUGAACCACCAAUGCCGCGAAAGUGAUGAAGUCCGGAGGGAAGUAAAGCUCUUUUACCCGGGAUGAUAAUGACGGUACCGGGAGAAUAAGCUCCGGCUAACUCCGUG